This 470-nucleotide ribosomal RNA is filed under the name uncultured bacterium. RNAcentral describes it as "bacterial SSU rRNA". It matches the Rfam family "Bacterial small subunit ribosomal RNA", at positions 29 to 511 of the family's 1533-position model. The record is from RNAcentral.
AACGAACGCUGGCGGCGCGUCUUAAACAUGCAAGUCGAACGAUCUGUAGCAAUACAGGGAGUGGCGGACGGGUGAGGAACACGUAGGAAUCUACCUUGAAGAGCGGGACAACUUUGGGAAACCGGGGCUAAUACCGCAUAGUACAGAGAUGUUAAAGGGCUAGCAAUAGUCGCUUCGAGAUGAGCCUGCGGUCUAUCAGCUUGUUGGUGAGGUAAUGGCUCACCAAGGCUACGACGGAUAGCCGGUCUGAGAGGAUGAUCGGCCACACUGGCACUGAGACACGGGCCAGACUCCUACGGGAGGCAGCAGUUAAGAAUCUUGCGCAAUGGGGGAAACCCUGACGCAGCGACGCCGCGUGAAGGAUGAAGGCUUUCGGGUUGUAAACUUCGGUAGACUGGGAAGAAGAAAUACGUUCGUUGAGGGCGUAUAGUGACGGUACCAGUCUGAAGCCCCGGCUAAUUACGUGCCAG